AGUAUUAUGCACGGGCAGGCGUGGAUUAUGAGCUCCCUUACGAGAUGAUCCCAUCAAGUCUAACCGGGUAACAGGAUUGAGUCAGCCCGCCAUACAACUGAUGGCUGUUAUCUGAGGCAAAGUCAUUGUGUAAAGUUUAAUUGUGACUAUAAACGCUUAAACGUCUAAUUAAUCGGAAAACCAGUGGACUUCGGAAUCACUUGAUUA
This is a long non-coding RNA of Protopterus annectens (West African lungfish), 207 nucleotides long. RefSeq lists it as uncharacterized. NCBI's taxonomy places the organism in Eukaryota, Metazoa, Chordata, Ceratodontiformes, Protopteridae. The record is from RefSeq and is a predicted model, not a curated record. The transcript is spliced from 2 exons.